UGGGGAAUAUUGCACAAUGGGCGCAAGCCUGAUGCAGCCAUGCCGCGUGUGUGAAGAAGGCCUUCGGGUUGUAAAGCACUUUCAGCGGGGAGGAAGGCGGUGAGGUUAAUAACCUCAUCGAUUGACGUUACCGACAGAAGAAGCACCGGCUAACUCCGUGCCAGCAGCCGCGGUAAUACGGAGGGUGCAAGCGUUAAUCGGAAUUACUGGGCGUAAAGCGCACGCAGGCGGUUGAUUGAGUCAGAUGUGAAAUCCCCGGGCUUAACCCGGGAAUUGCAUCUGAUACUGGUCAGCUAGAGUCUUGUAGAGGGGGGUAGAAUUCCAUGUGUAGCGAUGAAAUGCGUAGAGAUGUGGAGGAAUACCGGUGGCGAAGGCGGCCCCCUGGACAAAGACUGACGCUCAGGUGCGAAAGCGUGGGGAGCAAACAGG
This 429-nucleotide ribosomal RNA is filed under the name Chloroflexota bacterium. RNAcentral describes it as "Chloroflexi bacterium partial 16S ribosomal RNA". It matches the Rfam family "Bacterial small subunit ribosomal RNA", at positions 355 to 776 of the family's 1533-position model. Lineage: Bacteria; Bacillati; Chloroflexota. The record is from RNAcentral.